Molecule: ribosomal RNA, 144 nt
Filed under: uncultured eukaryote
Lineage: Eukaryota
Description: partial 18S ribosomal RNA
Rfam family: Eukaryotic small subunit ribosomal RNA
Source: RNAcentral
GAGCUUAUAACCUUGGCCGAAAGGCCUGGGCAAUCUUGUUAACGCGCAUCGUGAUAGGGAUAGAUGAUUGUAAUUAUUCAUCUUGAACGAGGAAUUCCUAGUAAUCGCAGAUCAUCAAUCUGCAGUGAUUACGUCCCUGCCCUU